RNAcentral lists this ribosomal RNA (301 nucleotides) under uncultured bacterium. RNAcentral describes it as "partial 16S ribosomal RNA". It matches the Rfam family "Bacterial small subunit ribosomal RNA", at positions 509 to 808 of the family's 1533-position model. The record is from RNAcentral.
CAGCCGCCGCGGGAAAACGUAGGGUGCAAGCGUUAAUCGGAAUUACUGGGCGUAAAGCGUGCGCAGGCGGUUAUAUAAGACAGAUGUGAAAUCCCCGGGCUCAACCUGGGAACUGCAUUUGUGACUGUAUAGCUAGAGUACGGCAGAGGGGGAUGGAAUUCCGCGUGUAGCAGUGAAAUGCGUAGAUAUGCGGAGGAACACCGAUGGCGAAGGCAAUCCCCUGGGCCUGUACUGACGCUCAUGCACGAAAGCGUGGGGAGCAAACAGGAUUAGAUACCCCGUAGUCCCUGUCUCUUAUACA